This 256-nucleotide ribosomal RNA is filed under the name uncultured bacterium. RNAcentral describes it as "partial 16S ribosomal RNA". It matches the Rfam family "Bacterial small subunit ribosomal RNA", at positions 524 to 776 of the family's 1533-position model. The record is from RNAcentral.
GACGUAGGUGGCGAACGUUAUCCGGAAUUAUUGGGCGUAAAGGGUGCGUAGGUGGCCUGACAAGUUAUCAGUGGCAAAUCGAGGCUCAACCUCGUGGAAACUGGUAAUACUGUUCGGCUUGAGUACAGGAGAGGUUAACGGAACUCUAUGUGAAGCGGUAAAAUGCACAGAUAUAUAGAAGAACAUCAAUAAAGGCGAAGGCGGUUAACUAUUCUGUUACUGACGCUGAGGCACGAAAGCGUGGGGAGCAAAACGG